AUUCUUGCCAUAUGACACUGUCUGCUCUCUCUUUGUCUUCCACCAUGAAGACAGGCAUGGUAGCUCAUGUGGAAGCUUCCCGAGGCCCUCACCCAGAAGCAGAUGCUGGAGCCAUGCUUGUACAGCUUGCAGAACUAAAGCCCAGCUGGCUUGGUUCCAUGAAUCUUUGCCCUUCUUUCCAUCCACUUCUUCCUGCUUGGACAUUGGUUACCUGGAGAAGCAGAAGCCAUUUUAAGAUGAUGAAAGCAAAAGUUAAAUGUAUGAGAUGAUGGUGCAGAAAGCCAAAAGGGGCCUCCAGAACACUGAGCUUUGUGGAGUCGUGUACCAUAGCUGUAUUGCCGACCUCUGAACUUCCUGCUGAGAUAAAAAACAAUCCUUAUGUGUUUAUACUACUUUUAUUUCAGUUUCUUUUAAGUAUAGCAAACACAUUCCAAAUAAUAUGCAUCUGAAGUUUUUGGUUUUGUUUUUAAAUUUUUUUUUUAGGGAUGGGUUCUGGCUGCGUAGUGGCUAGAGUGUAGUGGCUAUUCUUAGGUGCGGUCAUAGCUCACUACAGCCUCUAACUGGCCUCAAGCAAUCCUCCCACCUCAGCUUCCAGGGUAGCUGGGAUUACAGGAGAGCACCACACUGAAGUUUCUGUUAAAUAGAAUGUUUGCUGUAGAUUUUUAGUUGAUGUCCUCUGUUAGGUUGAAAACCUUCCUUUAUUUUCUUGUGAAAUUUCUAAGAGAUUUUUAAAUCAUUAACUGGUAUUGAACUUUAUAAAAUGAUUUUUCUGUGUCUGAGAUGAUCAUGUGAUUAUUUUUCCUGUUUAUGUCCCUUGAUGUGAUGAUUUUUAUUGUAGAUCUUCCUUUAUUGAACCAAAUUUACGUUAUUUAUAUUAACCCUAUUUGAUUGUAAUAUAUUUUUAGUAGGGUAUUAGACUCUGUUACCUAACAUUUUACUUAGCAUUAUUUUGCAUCUAUGUUCAUAAGUAAAAUAGGAGUUUUUUUCUUUAUGUGACUAGGU
This 1002-nucleotide long non-coding RNA is filed under the name Homo sapiens (human). RNAcentral describes it as "HSALNT0322895". Lineage: Eukaryota; Metazoa; Chordata; Mammalia; Primates; Hominidae. The record is from RNAcentral.